Molecule: long non-coding RNA, 3438 nt
Organism: Lemur catta (Ring-tailed lemur)
Lineage: Eukaryota; Metazoa; Chordata; Mammalia; Primates; Lemuridae
Exons: 2
Source: RefSeq, a predicted model, not a curated record
CACUCUCCUGCGGAGGAUGCCCUACAGGCAUUACAUCCCUCCCAGCCUCUGUCCUUCAGGCCCUGCCCUCCCUGUCCCCUACCCUGGUCCCGUUUCUCUCUAGCCCAGGAAGGACACCCGAGCAGUUCGCUCUGCCCUGCCGGCUGCUGGUCCACUCCCACCGGGGCAGUGCUGCCCUACCUCCCCAGGCCCUCGUGGGACCUCAGUGUGGUCUAUUCCGACUUUUACCCCCACUCUCACCCCAGGAACAGGGAGAGAAAGGGUGAGCGGAAUACAGAAGCCCACAACAAAACUCCACCCACUGCAGCCACCUCUCUUGUUCGGAAAUGAAUUUUGGCAAGAGAUUAGUUCCUAAUCUGAUCUAACGCUGCUGACAUUUGGGAAGAAGAUGAAAAUGGCAGCUCAAUUUCAUUCUGAAACGGGGUCACUUCUCAGGGCUCUGCUCCCCAGAGAAUGUGGUGCCCCUCCCCCCCAAGCAGAGGAGCUGCGUGGAGCUGGAGGGGCAGGCAUGGCCUGGACCGCCCACCCCCAGGUCAGCGGCUGCCCUGAGGCUUGACCCGCAACCUGCCCCUAACCCUGUUUGAAUGGUGGGGGUGGAAGGAGGCUGUCUGGGCUGGGGCUACUUCCUGGGUCCUCCCCUACCUGCCUUCAGGGCACCGUGCUCGGGCAGAGGUGACAGGGGUCCUGGGCCCCCAUCAAGGACUCUAGGCUAGAGAGCCUCUUUCUUGUAGAAAGUUUCAGGAGUCACACUAGACAGUGAGGCAAUCAAAGCGAGGUGUCCCCAAGGCCUGCUAGGUGCUUUCCCUUGUGCUCCCUUGGGCAAGUAAAAGCACACCUCACCUCGAGGCUGGGUGGUUGGUCUCGGCUGAGGGUCUGGCUUAUGUAGAAGCCACAGAUCUGGAGAUAGCCUCUCUGGCACUUGGCCUGGCCCUGUGAAGCUGCAAAGUCCUGGUACGUAGGAGCCAGGACUUCCCUUCUUCCCCAGACACCUGCACACCCCCUGCAGACUUAAAGAGGUGGUGGGCCAGUGCCCAGCCCUCAGCUGGGACUGCCCUGGCAGUGGCCUCAUCCUGGGUCAGGUAAGAGAGGGCAGGUGGAGUCAGGUGUUAGGGAACAUGUCUGGUCACUGGAUUCUGUUCUUGAGGGAUCAGGCACUUCUGAGGCCCUGCCCAUGGCGUACAGGCCUGGGAUGGGGGUUGAAGGCACCAUCAUCGUCAACCCAAGCUAAGGCUGAGCAGAAGCGUCUGUGCCUGGGUUCCUGGGAGUGAGCGUGCUAAUGAAGAGAGUUCUGUGCUUGCGUUUGGCCUUGGACCUUGCAUGCUGGUGGCUGCAUGUGCAUGAGCAGCUGUACGUGAAUGUGCUUAUACAGCCUGCACCUUUGAGCAUGUAGAUCACAUACGUGUUUGUGGAAGUGUGGACACGGCCAUGGAGGGCAGGGCUACUGGAGCCCACACUGUGUCUUUGUGCAGCUUAGAAAAAGGUAUCCCUUCUUCUGGGUGGAUGGUUGCCCUGUUCACCUGGUGAGUGAAAUGUGAGCUGGAUUUCAGCAAAGCACUCCUGCCCCCCAUCCCCGUGGCCAGACUUCUUGUCACAGAAGUGCAAAAUCUGUAGUCCAUAAGUUGGAACUGUGGUGGAGAUGUCUGCUGGGCGUGAUGUCAUUGACGGUGCCUGUAUCACUGAGGAUCAGCUACAUUCGGAGCAGUCCCUCCUUCACUGGUGUGCAGCCCCUCCCACAGUGUUGGCAUCUGAAUAGCAUCAGCCACCAGCCACCGCCAUCUGCCACCUUCAGAGUUCCUGUGCAUCGUCGUGCAAAGUUCUUCCAGCACCUGGACACUCCUCUGCAGAUGCAACUCUGUACCUCUUGGAUGCCUAAUGUCCCCUUUGCAAUGGGGUUUCCAGAAUGGAGCACCAAAAUCCAGGUGGUCCCCUCCAGUUCCGAGUAGAACAGGACUCUGCUAUCCCUUGCUCUAGCCCACUGUACUUCUGUUAAUGAAGUCCAAGAUGGCAUUGGCUUUUUUGGCAGCCAAGGGUCGUACAAAGUUACAGAAGCUGGCCAGUCCAGCUUCACCCAUCAUGGAGGAAUCUCACAGAAGGCCCCACUCGUGGUCCUGCAGCCUACAUUUGGAUGUUUCCAGUGCUGGGAAGCUUACUGUCUCCCCAAGUUGCCUUGUGUCUUCUGAAACAGUUUUGAAUUUUAGGGUUUUCCUUGAGCUCUGAAGAACAAGUCUUAUCUCUCUGGAGUUUAACUGGAGUCUAACCAGUUGUUUGAAGUACUCCCCCCUUGGCUGCUCCCUCCCCCAUUAUUAUGGGAAAAAUGCAAACUUAUACAACAGAAGAAUGAACAGUGUAAUGCAUUCAUCUCUCGUCUUCAGUAAUUAUGGGUUGAAGUGUGUCCUUCUCCCAUCCAAAUUCAUAUGUUGAAAUACUACCCUCUAGGACCUCAGAAUGUGACCUUAUUUGGAGAUAGGUCUUUACAGAGGUGAUCAAAUUAAAAGGAGGUAGAGUGGGCCUUAAUUAAUUAUGACUGGUGACCUUGCAAGAAGAGGAAGUUUGGACACAGACAGGCACAGAGGGAAGAUGACUUGAAGGCUCAAGGGGAAGACGGCCAUCUAUAAACCCAGGCCUGGAAUAGUGCCCUUCAUCUAGGAUUUCCAGCCUCCAGAACUGUGAGACAGUGAGUUUCUAUUGUUUAGAUCACGCAGUGUGUGGUGCUUUGUUACAGCAGCCUAGCAAGCUCAUACAGAUGAUCAAAUCAAGGUCAAUCUGGUUCCAUCUAUUCUUCCUAGGAUCUCCCCAUUCCAGGCUAUUUUGAAGGAAAUUCCAGACGUUAUAUCUUUUCCCCAAUAACAAUUUUAGGAUGUAUCUCUAAAAGGAUUCUUUUAAAAGUUCAAUCACAAUACCACGAUUCUUUACUAAUUCUGUCCAUGAGGUGAUGGACCAUGAGGUGAGUAGACACACGUGUGGUGACUCAUGCCUGGGCAGCCUGGGCUCUGGGCUCUGGGCUCUGCUCAGAAUCCAGCCUCCACUGUCCCUGAAUACGAGAUCCUUGUCAGAUCCAGGUAGACUGGACGUUCCAGCUAUAGACCUGGGAACGAGGCUCUUCCACUGGGUGGAGCUUGGUGGGGCCACCCACUUCUAACCGUCCCACCCUGCCCAGCUCCCUCGACCAGGUACAAGGCAGGAACACUUGUAGGGCCUGUGGGUCUCAUUUAACCCAAUGUUCUCAGAAACUUCCAGAAACAUUCCUAAAAGCAGCACAUGCUUAGUAGACCUAAAAAUACAUAUGCAAUCCUUCUAGGGGCCAGGAGGGGUGAGGACAUGGGAAAAACCAACCAGACCCAGAUGGAAGAUCUGUUACACCUGCCUGGAAACCUCUAAAAUAGAAAGAACUGAAUCAAAAUGAAUGAAUAACAUGAAUGAAUAAAAACCAUUUUAAGA